Numida meleagris (helmeted guineafowl) is the source of this 618-nucleotide long non-coding RNA. The record is from Ensembl. Lineage: Eukaryota; Metazoa; Chordata; Aves; Galliformes; Numididae.
AUGGAUGGGAGCACCCCCAGAUCCUACUGGAGGCCGGGAGGGGGAGGGGCUCGGAGUCCGUGCCUGGUGCCCGGUGGGGAUGGGGGGUGGAUACAGCACGGAGCCCCGGUGCCGGGGGGGUCGGGGCGGGGCGGGGCGGGGCGAGGUUAUGUAAGGCGGCGAUUAACGGGGCCGGGCCGGGCGGCGGCGCGAUGGGAGCAGCCAGCAGCGGGUCCGGCCCGGGGCCCCCCCAGGUGCGUGCGGUGGCCCCGAGGUUGUCCCCGCGUCCCCCUAUCCGGUAUCCAACCCCGGCCCGCUGACGGCUCCCCCCUGUUCCGUAGAGCCGCUCCGUGGGGUCGUGGGUGCGGGCGCUGCUCCGCCGGAGCGGGUCGGUCCAGGGGCCGGUGCCGGUGCCGGGUCUCGCUGUGGCCACCGAGGAGCCGCCGCCGUUCCCGGGGUGGCCGCUGCCGCAGCUCGUCUCGCUCUUCCUGCCGGAGUUCCCCGUGCGUCCCUCCGCCCGGCAGCAGCAGCUCAAGAUCCUGGGCUUGGUGGCCAAAGGCUCCUUCGGUACCAUCCUAAAAGUGUUGGACUGCGGGCGGGAGAAGGUCUGCGCCGUGAAGGUGGGUGCUGCCCCACAGC